Molecule: unclassified non-coding RNA, 520 nt
Filed under: uncultured Glomus
Lineage: Eukaryota; Fungi; Glomeromycota; Glomeromycetes; Glomerales; Glomeraceae
Description: SSU rRNA
Rfam family: Eukaryotic small subunit ribosomal RNA
Source: RNAcentral
AGCAGCCGCGGUAAUUCCAGCUCCAAUAGCGUAUAUUAAAGUUGUUGCAGUUAAAAAGCUCGUAGUUGAAUUUCGGGGUUAGUAGGUUGGUCAUGCCUCUGGUAUGUACUGGUCUCACUGAUUCCUCCUUCCUGAUGAGCCGUAAUGCCAUUAAUUUGGUGUUGCGGGGAAUUUGGACUGUUACUUUGAAAAAAUUAGAGUGUUUAAAGCAAGCUAACGCUUGAAUACAUUAGCAUGGAAUAAUGAAAUAGGACGUUCGAUCCUAUUUUGUUGGUUUCUAGGAUUGACGUAAUGAUUAAUAGGGAUAGUUGGGGGCAUUAGUAUUCAAUUGUCAGAGGUGAAAUUCUUGGAUUUAUUGAAGACUAACCACUGCGAAAGCAUUUGCCAAGGAUGUUUUCAUUAAUCAAGAACGAAAGUUAGGGGAUCGAAGACGAUCAGAUACCGUCGUAGUCUUAACCAUAAACUAUGCCGACUAGGGAUCGGAUGAUGUUAAUUUUUUAAUGACUCAUUCGGCGCCUUA